GAUUAACGCUGGCGGCGUGCCUAACACAUGCAAGUCGAGCGGCAGCGCGUUUUACACUGACUUCUGGAAGCUUCUAGUUGCAAGAGAAGAUUUAUUCAAGAAUUUUGUGUAAAAUGUCGGCGAGCGGCGGACGGCUGAGUAACGCGUGGGAACGUACCCCAAAGUGAGGGAUAACGCAUCGAAAGGUGUGCUAAUACCGCAUAUGGUCUUCGGAUUAAAGCCUUCGGGCGCUUUGGGAACGGCCUGCGUAAGAUUAGAUAGUUGGUGGGGUAAUGGCCUACCAAGUCGACGAUCUGUAACUGGUUUGAGAGGAUGAUCAGUCAGACUGGAACUGAGACACGGUCCAGACUCCUACGGGAGGCAGCAGUUAGGAAUCUUCCACAAUGGGCGAAAGCCUGAUGGAGCAACGCCGCGUGCAGGAUGAAGGCCUUCGGGUUGUAAACUGCUUUUAUAAGUGAGGAUUAUGACAGUAACUUAUGAAUAAGGAGCGGCUAACUACGUG
This 502-nucleotide ribosomal RNA is filed under the name uncultured bacterium. RNAcentral describes it as "partial 16S ribosomal RNA". It matches the Rfam family "Bacterial small subunit ribosomal RNA", at positions 28 to 507 of the family's 1533-position model. The record is from RNAcentral.